Molecule: ribosomal RNA, 395 nt
Filed under: uncultured bacterium
Lineage: Bacteria
Description: bacterial SSU rRNA
Rfam family: Bacterial small subunit ribosomal RNA
Source: RNAcentral
GUGUCAGCAGCCGCGGUAAGACGUAGGUGGCAAGCGUUGUCCGGAAUUACUGGGCGUAAAGGGCGUGUAGGCGGUUGCCUAAGUCAGGCGUGAAACCCCCGGGCUUAACCUUGGGACUGCGCUUGAGACUGGGCGGCUUGAGGACAGGAGAGGAAAGUGGAACUCCGUGUGUAGCGGUGAAAUGCGUAGAUAUACGGAAGAACACCAGUGGCGAAGGCGACUUUCUGGACUGUUUCUGACGCUGAGGCGCGAAAGCCAGGGGAGCGAACGGGAUUAGAUACCCCGGUAGUCCUGGCCGUAAACGAUGGGUACUAGGUGUGGGGGGUAUCGACCCCUCCCGUGCCGGAGUUAACACAAUAAGUACCCCGCCUGGGGAGUACGGCCGCAAGGUUGAA